UACGGAGGUGGCGAGCGUUGUUCGGAUUUAUUGGGUGUAAAGGGUUUGUAGGUGUCCUGCUAAGUCUUUCUUUAAAUCCUAUGGCUCAACCAUAGAUAAGGGGAAGAAACUGACGGGAUUGAGUAUUGGAGAGGGAGGCGGAAUUCCCGGUGUAAGGGUGAAAUCUGUAGAUAUCGGGAGGAACACCAGUGGCGAAAGCGGCCUCCUGGCCAAAUACUGACACUGAAAAACGAAAGCAAGGGGAGCAAACAGG
Molecule: ribosomal RNA, 253 nt
Filed under: uncultured bacterium
Lineage: Bacteria
Description: partial 16S ribosomal RNA
Rfam family: Bacterial small subunit ribosomal RNA
Source: RNAcentral